Molecule: non-coding RNA, 45 nt
Organism: Schistosoma haematobium
Lineage: Eukaryota; Metazoa; Platyhelminthes; Trematoda; Strigeidida; Schistosomatidae
Source: Rfam
ACCUUGCUGACGAGUGUCAAGUAGCACGAAACUCGGGUCCAGGGU